UUACGAAAUGAAGCUAAGAUUUGGCCAGGACUUGGACUUGGUGCUUAGCAGUUACCUGCAUAAUGCUGCUGAGAAGAUAGUUGAGACCUGUAAAGGACCACUAAAGAACUCAUUUACUGCUACAAUGUUGCAGGCACACCCACUGCAAUCAAAAUGUAUGCUGAACAAUGCUGCCGUGAUGCUCCUGCCGACACUGAUGAAGGAAAACCAUAAAUUACUGUACUGCAUCAAUGAGGAACCACCAGCACCGACGCCAACCAUGAUGAUUCGUUGUGAAAAUUCUCCUUUGGCGGAAGUAAUGGUUUCCAUCAAGAUUGAUGGCGAAUUUGUCAUUGGCCCCUCCCCUGACAUUGAUGCCUCCUUAGGCCUUGUCUGUAUUUUUUGUUUAUAUUUUCUUUUUGAUGUUCAAUACCCAAAAGAGGUCCACCACACAUUACUAUUCUUUGAAAGACGCCUUAACCUGUCUAUGUCUAAGCCCUCCACUCCAGUGUUGCGUGUGGAAAAACUGUUAUCAUAAAGUGUGUUUUAUAAUCAUUUGAAAUUUAUUAAUUUGUAAAAAUGUAACUAUUGCUGUUUUGAGCGUAUUUAUGACACAUUUUUUAUUUUUAAUA
Long non-coding RNA from Alosa alosa (allis shad), 611 nucleotides. RefSeq lists it as uncharacterized. The transcript is spliced from 3 exons. The record is from RefSeq and is a predicted model, not a curated record. Lineage: Eukaryota; Metazoa; Chordata; Actinopteri; Clupeiformes; Clupeidae.